CCUCGAAGCCGGAGGCGGGGCUGGAGGCGGUGGCCACCGGCAGAAGCGCGCGUGUAGCGCCCGCGAGGAAUCGCAGCGUCCGGCUCCGCGGUCCGGAGCCUCCCUAGCGCAAUACGAAGCUGCCUGGGGCGCGGGGAGGAGUUUGCAGUGGGGUGAUUUUCGAAUAUCUUCACCUCACUGCGGGAGGAGGAGUUUCGAGAGGAGGAGUUUCGAACGGCCGAUGUUACAAGGGCUGUUAACCCGUGAAGCCCUGAGUCGGAUUCCAGUCUUUUCCAAACCUCGCUCCCGAAUCAUCUAAUAGGCUAAUGACCAUGGCCCCCUGUGCCUCCAAAGGGAAAACGGGACGUAUCGGAAACUUUACCGUCGCCUUUCCCUACUUGCCUUUGCCUUUCUAGGAAUCGUAUAGAGAUGUUAACCGAGUUUUCUUCAAAAUACUCAUCAGUGAGGAAUUGAAAUAAAAUCUUCACAAAAGUA
Felis catus (domestic cat) is the source of this 474-nucleotide long non-coding RNA. RefSeq lists it as uncharacterized. The record is from RefSeq and is a predicted model, not a curated record. The transcript has 2 exons. NCBI's taxonomy places the organism in Eukaryota, Metazoa, Chordata, Mammalia, Carnivora, Felidae.